This is a long non-coding RNA of Poecilia latipinna (sailfin molly), 1269 nucleotides long. RefSeq lists it as uncharacterized. The record is from RefSeq and is a predicted model, not a curated record. NCBI's taxonomy places the organism in Eukaryota, Metazoa, Chordata, Actinopteri, Cyprinodontiformes, Poeciliidae. The transcript is spliced from 3 exons.
CUUUCCAUCAGUAAGAAAAGCUCUCAGACAUCUCCCCAGUUCGGCUCCCUUUGUUGCCACUGGGUUUUUGGUAAAUGUUUUCUCAGAUCUCACGUAUGCAUCAUUGCUCCCACGCCAUCACUGAAAUCCUUUCUAGAAAGAAGAAGAAGAAAAAGAAGAAGAAGAAAAAAAUCAAUCUUAAAGCCGUUAUUGCAAUGCAUUGUUGAUGAGCACAGGAGUGGCAGACAGCUCCGCUUGGGCUGUCCUAUGGCUGCCUGCAGGUUGAAGCCACCGGGCCGAGCCAAGCAGCUCCGAGGGAGCCAGCAGGAGACGCCAGGCCGGGCCAACACACACCCUGUGCAUCAGCUUACACUUAUACAGGCAGCAAAAAGAGUGUGGAGAAAAAUCUACGAGGAAUAAAUAACUUUCUGAGUGGGAGAUGGAUUUAGAUCUCUAGAGUUUUCUCAACUGCAAGUGAAAUUCUGCACUGAAAUUUUUACUUAUGUGCAAGUGUGACAGACAGCUUGAUUACAGAAAGCCGUGUGCUUAUUAGGACUGGGCUGAGUCUCGUGAUGUGACGGCCUCGAGUAAAACACCACAGUUUAAAGGCAUUUCUGAAAAAAAAAAAUAAUAAAAUGGAAAAAAAAAAAGAAAAAGACAUUAUCUAAUAGAUUUAAUUUAAAACAUUAUGGCAACAACUGACUCCUUUGGUAAGAUAGCAAGCAAAUAUUGCCUUUCUGUGGUCCCUAACUGGUGACUGGAUUGGAAGGUUUUCUACGCCAGCUAGUAUUUCGCUGUGGGUCCCACUGCCAACGGUGUUUCUUCACUUCAAGUUAUCCUUCUUCUUUGUCCUUUCUGGUUUGUUGGACCCGUCAGUGUGCAGGUAGCUGCUGCCACUACAUUUUGUGCAUCAACAGCUGGUUGCUGCUGGCAUCUUUCUUGGAUCGCGUUGUUGGUACCUUAGUCAUGCAUAGAGAUGCCACAUUUGACAAACCUUAACUUUGUUCAAAUCUUUCUCAGAAUGGUCCAGGUAUCAUGUUUGGAGAAGGAAAGCUGACGUCAAAGAACAUCAGAUAUAUCCUGGCUUUCUGCCAAGUGGUGCACCAUCAAAAGAUUACCGAAGCGCCUCUAUUGAACGCAUCUUCUUUUCCAACACUAGUGGAAAAAUCGGUGAUCCUUUAAAAUCUUAAAGCCAUCAGGAAAAACAGUAGCACUUUGAUCUCAUCCCAAAUCAUCUUGAGGCUAUUCAGCUGAGCAGAGAAGACAUUGUAUAAAAUAUUUGUAGCCUCU